Molecule: non-coding RNA, 24 nt
Filed under: Arabidopsis thaliana (thale cress)
Lineage: Eukaryota; Viridiplantae; Streptophyta; Magnoliopsida; Brassicales; Brassicaceae
Source: RNAcentral
AGACAACGGCGCUGUCCCUGGUUC